GGUGCUUUGCUCUGUCUAUCCCAUACUUUGUAAAGGAUCAUCUGAUGGUCGGCUUAGAUGUUAAUAUGCCUGGUGUUUUUAAAUGAUUCCUUUUAACUGAUUCAUUUGCCAGGAAGUUUGGCAUUUGGCAAAAAUGACUCAGAAAAUGAAAGACCAUCAAUAUUUUCUCUAUGGCAGCAAGUGAGUAGAGGUAGGUGUAGACAAAGAUUUCAGCUGUUGAUUGGGUAUUGCACAAUCUGAAGAUCUGCAUGAUUCAGGAGACAGAGGCAGAAAAGGGAACGUGCCUGCAGUCUGAUAUCCAGGGGUUGCUGCUUUUUGCUCUGGAGUCUCUGCACCCUGCUGAACCUCAGGCUCUUCAUAUUUCUAUUUUAACAUCUACAAAAACAAAGGCAGCCUUCUAGAACAAAGACCACUUUUUUCCAAGGGAGGAGGACCACAGCUCUGCCAUGGGGAAAGACAGCAACUUCUGUGCAGACAGCAGCCUUGAGUAAAACAUCCAUCUGAGCAACACUACAGGCAAAAAAAAAGAUCCUGAAGACUUCAUGAUGAUGUUGACUUAUUUCUUCUCUAACUGUCCAAUUAGUCAUGAUGCUACACAGGGAGAUAUUAGUGCCAUAUGGAAUGCAAGAUGCUGAAGACACCAAGCUUUUCCUCUCUCUCAUGAAGAACAGGUCUACCUUGCAAGCUAGUAAAAAUGUUCUGGGGGAGCGGGAUAUGGAGGAUGAGGGAGAGGAUGAGCAGCAGAAUUCCUGUGUCCCCACCCUGGAGUCUUUGGGUGUCAUCUGCUCCUGCGGGCAGGAAGAGAGACUUGAGCCAGGUCACCCUCCAUGGAGUCACCUGUGGGGAGGUCAGCACACAAACCAGAUCUGCCUGAUGGGCAAACAGCUGAUCCUCCUUGCCCUGCAGGGACUGUCCGGCACCUGCUGAAGGCUUCUUAAUUUGAUACUGAGCAUUCCACCCCUCACUCCCCAGCCCAUCCAUCCCCUGACUGGCAGCUCUGGCUCUUGCCCGACAAAGAAACUUUGCCAGAUAAAGAUUUUUUCCCCUUCCUUUGAGGAUUUCUGAGACUUCAAAAAAUGCUUCCUUCUCCUAAUAGAAACAACAACUUUUAUAAAUCUAGGGAUGUUUUUUUCUGUGGUUUUUUUUUUUGGUGGUUUUAUUUUCUUUUUUUUUUCCCUUGAGGACAAAAUCUGAAGAGCAUAAAACUUUUGCUUUAAAAAUGACAAAAUAUAACAGAAAGUUAAACCAUUCUUGUUGCUGCUGUUUUUUCUCCAAAUGAAAUAUAAAUUGAGACAGAACAUUUCACACAUAGGGAUUAGGUUUUAACACACAGUUUCUUUGUCUGCAGUUAGUAGAAAACAGCACCUUGAGUAAAGCAUUCAUCCCAUUUUUAUACACUUUUGGCAAUCUGCUCUUUGAAACUUCU
Molecule: long non-coding RNA, 1426 nt
Filed under: Zonotrichia albicollis (white-throated sparrow)
Lineage: Eukaryota; Metazoa; Chordata; Aves; Passeriformes; Passerellidae
Description: lncRNA (ENSZALG00000000018.1)
Source: RNAcentral